GAGCGGAUGACGGGAGCUUGCUCCUUGAUUCAGCGGCGGACGGGUGAGUAAUGCCUAGGAAUCUGCCUGGUAGUGGGGGACAACGUUUCGAAAGGAACGCUAAUACCGCAUACGUCCUACGGGAGAAAGCAGGGGACCUUCGGGCCUUGCGCUAUCAGAUGAGCCUAGGUCGGAUUAGCUAGUUGGUGGGGUAAUGGCUCACCAAGGCGACGAUCCGUAACUGGUCUGAGAGGAUGAUCAGUCACACUGGAACUGAGACACGGUCCAGACUCCUACGGGAGGCAGCAGUGGGGAAUAUUGGACAAUGGGCGAAAGCCUGAUCCAGCCAUGCCGCGUGUGUGAAGAAGGUCUUCGGAUUGUAAAGCACUUUAACUUGGGAGGAAGGGCAGUAAGCUAAUACCUUGCUGUUUUGACGUUACCGACAGAAUAAGCACCGGCUAACUCUGUG
This 448-nucleotide ribosomal RNA is filed under the name uncultured bacterium. Its description in RNAcentral is "bacterial SSU rRNA". It matches the Rfam family "Bacterial small subunit ribosomal RNA", at positions 64 to 507 of the family's 1533-position model. The record is from RNAcentral.